This 253-nucleotide ribosomal RNA is filed under the name uncultured bacterium. RNAcentral's name for it is "partial 16S ribosomal RNA". It matches the Rfam family "Bacterial small subunit ribosomal RNA", at positions 524 to 776 of the family's 1533-position model. The record is from RNAcentral.
UACGAAGGGGGCGAGCGUUGUUCGGAAUCACUGGGCGUAAAGGGCGCGUAGGCGGCCCUCUUAGUCGCGUGUGAAAGCCCCGGGCUCAACCUGGGAACGGCGCGCGAAACGGGAGGGCUGGAGUUCGGGAGAGGAGAGUGGAAUUCCCAGUGUAGAGGUGAAAUUCGUAGAUAUUGGGAAGAACACCGGUGGCGAAGGCGGCUCUCUGGACCGAGACUGACGCUGAGGCGCGAAAGCGUGGGUAGCAAACAGG